CGAGGGUGCGAACGUUGCUCGGAUUUACUGGGCGUAAAGCGCGUGUAGGCGGACUCGCAAGUCGGUUGUGAAAUCCCUGGGCUUAACCUAGGAACUGCAUCCGAAACUGCUUGUCUUGAGUAAUGGAGAGGGUGGCGGAAUUCCCGGUGUAGAGGUGAAAUUCGUAGAUAUCGGGAGGAACAUCAGUGGCGAAGGCGGCCACCUGGACAUUUACUGACGCUGAGACGCGAAAGCGUGGGGAGCAAACAGGAUUAGAUACCCGCGUAGUCC
RNAcentral lists this ribosomal RNA (270 nucleotides) under uncultured archaeon. RNAcentral's name for it is "partial 16S ribosomal RNA". It matches the Rfam family "Bacterial small subunit ribosomal RNA", at positions 527 to 796 of the family's 1533-position model. The record is from RNAcentral.